This 251-nucleotide ribosomal RNA is filed under the name uncultured bacterium. RNAcentral's name for it is "partial 16S ribosomal RNA". It matches the Rfam family "Bacterial small subunit ribosomal RNA", at positions 103 to 354 of the family's 1533-position model. The record is from RNAcentral.
CGGGUGAGUAACGCGUGGAUAACCUGCCUCACACAGGGGGAUAACAGUUAGAAAUGACUGCUAAUACCGCAUAAGCGCACAGUCUCGCAUGGGACAGUGUGAAAAACUGAGGUGGUGUGAGAUGGAUCCGCGUCUGAUUAGGCAGUUGGCGGGGUAACGGCCCACCAAACCGACGAUCAGUAGCCGGCCUGAGAGGGUGACCGGCCACAUUGGGACUGAGACACGGCCCAAACUCCUACGGAAGGCAGCAG